CAUACAUCUUGCUCAGGCAACCGAAGAGGCAUGCCUCCAGCAUCCUCUGCCAUGACGAAAAGGCCUCAUAGGAUCCCAGUGAAACCAACCAAACAGUCAAUGCCAACUCUAGCCAGCAGAUCUGGAAGUUGAUCAAAGAUGGGCUGAUCCCACUAGACUAUGACGGUCCAUUCCCAGGUUCCAUGCCAGAAAGGGGCAGGCACAUGGGUACAUGUAGUCCUAAUGGCCCUGCAGAUGCUGGAAUGUCCCAGAAGGUAACCUGCAUGAGGAAGAGGAGGACUCUGCACCAGUUUCUUAGAAGAUACAGUGAAUCUGAAAUUGACCACCACCUGUAUCACAGCCUGUACCU
This 349-nucleotide long non-coding RNA is filed under the name Homo sapiens (human). Its description in RNAcentral is "non-protein coding lnc-RBM46-1:1". Lineage: Eukaryota; Metazoa; Chordata; Mammalia; Primates; Hominidae. The record is from RNAcentral.